RNAcentral lists this transfer RNA (67 nucleotides) under Gallotia stehlini (Gran Canaria giant lizard). RNAcentral describes it as "tRNA-His". It matches the Rfam family "tRNA". Rfam says of the family: Transfer RNA (tRNA) molecules are approximately 80 nucleotides in length. Their secondary structure includes four short double-helical elements and three loops (D, anti-codon, and T loops). The record is from RNAcentral. Lineage: Eukaryota; Metazoa; Chordata; Lepidosauria; Squamata; Lacertidae.
GUGAGCAUAGUUUAAUAAAAACGCUAGAUUGUGACUCUAGAAACAGAAGCCUGUUUUCUUGCACACC